RNAcentral lists this ribosomal RNA (251 nucleotides) under uncultured prokaryote. Its description in RNAcentral is "partial 16S rRNA". It matches the Rfam family "Bacterial small subunit ribosomal RNA", at positions 525 to 775 of the family's 1533-position model. The record is from RNAcentral.
ACGGAGGAUGCGAGCGUUAUCCGGAUUUAUUGGGUUUAAAGGGUGCGUAGGUGGACUGUUUAGUCAGUGGUGAAAUGCUGAUGCUCAACGUUAGCAUUGCCGUUGAAACUGACAGUCUUGAGAGUGAUUGAGGCAGGCGGAAUGUGUGGUGUAGCGGAAAAAUGCAUAGAUAUCACACAGAACCCCAAUGGCGAAGGCAGCUUACAAAGCCACAACUGACACUGAAGCACGAAAGCGUGGGGAUCAAACAG